AGUCACUAUCUCGUUAAUUUAUCAAAUAUGCGGAUCUUUUACCCGGAUUUGGUAGUUAUUUCGCAGAGCGAUUUAUAAACACGUCCGUUCACUUGAAAAGUAUGGAUGACUGGUCUGUCAUUAAAGUAGAAGAACCUCAGCAGAAUAGCUCCGCCGUAUUACUGCUGAUUAACAACGAGUCGCUGGAGGCACUCGGAAAUCAGCAGUUCAAACUUCGCUUUGGCCAAAGUGAAGAUCUUCCCCGCCUCUGUUGCCCUGGACUAAGACUUGGAGAAAUUGAGGGAUGACACCAAGAAACUGCUCGACGUUCUGCGGUUAUCUGGGAUGGAUGCAGAUUCUGUACAGGGGGAGCAGUCGUAAAGCCACCGAUAACCUACGAGUCACCCUACGUGAGGAGGACAUCGAUGUCUGCCUGAUACAGGAGCCUUAGAUCUGCCAGUAAAAAAUCAUGGGGCUGCUGGACAGAUCCUAUGACCUUUUUUGUGUCCAAACUGAUGUUCACCGGAUGCGACUAUGGUCAGGGUGGAACCAUCCAGUGGCAGUUGCUUCUGCUUGGUGUCUGCCUACAUGGCCCAUGACAGAUCGGCGCCUCCAGAGGAGUUGCAACAUUUAGUGGAUACUCUCCAGCCCAAGAAAGAGAACAUCCUGAUUGGAUGCUACGCGAAUGCCAGACACACAAUUUGGGGCAGCAGCGAGAUCAAUGAACGGGGUGAGUCUCUAUUUGACUCUAUACUAAGCCGUAAUUUAUUUAUCUGGAACAAGGGCACCUCCCCAACUUUUGUUUUCCUGGCAUCGGAAACAUCAAGAGGUUGAGAGGAAGUUCUUAUUACCUUUCUUUCGACAAACUCAUCUGCUGUUAGGGUUGAAAAUUGGACGCUCUCCCGGAGGAACUCUUUUUCGGACCACAGGAUGAUCCUCUUCGAAAUCAAUUUGAUUCGGGAGACCUUGCUACCCCGUAGAAACCCUAAACGAACUGACUGGUCUCUUUUCCACAGGGUUUUCUGCAAGAACCUGAACAACAGUAAGUUUUUGACUACCACUAGGGAACAUCUGGAUAUGCAAGUUAGACAUUUGAGAGGUCCUAUCAGACUGCCUUCAAAGGGGCCUGUCCAGUAUCCUUUAGCAAGACUUUCCUCACUGGUGGAGCAAGACGCUGAUCGAUUUGAAAGAGAAGGUUAGGAGAGUCUUCAACAAAUGUCACCAUACAAGGAACUUUCAAGAUUACCGGGGAAUUUUGAAAGAGUAUAAGAAAGCCAUUAGAGAUGCGAUGGAGAAUCAUCGAAUCCGUGAAAGACCCAGACAGACUCAGCAGGAUCCUAUCCAAGGACCACUCCUGUAAAACUCUUGUCGAAAGAGAGAAAGGGGAGUGGGCUCAAUCUGCAGGCGAAUCCUUAAAAAUCCAUAUUGGUGCCCAUUUCCCGCAAACUCUAUUUCUCCAGUCUGUAACGAAGACGCGAACCGGCAAGAGGGGUUACCUGCGAUGUCCCUGACACCUGUCCUGUCCAUCAACAGAAUAAAUUGGGCAAUCGAGAGCUUUUUCCCUUUCAAAUCUCCAGGUAUCGAUGGUAUCAUGCCAGUAAUGCUUCAGAAGACUAAAACCGUGGUGGUUCCCAUUCUUCAAAAGAUCUUCUUGGCGUGCAUCUCGCUAAACCACGUUCCUGCUAGCUGGAAGAAAACCAAAGUGGUCUUCACUCCUCAAUAUAUUCAAUUCAAUAUAUUGUUUAUAAGCCAUCAAAAGCAUUUGCGUCUCAGUUUUGUUGAUUUCUAGUGUGAUUGGGAAAAUGACAACCAGCCAUUGUUCGUGAGCUCGGUGACCUCAAAGUAAAUAAAAUGUUUUUGUAUCGCACUAUAGAACGUUAUAAUGAUACUAGUAGCAUAGCAAAACGCUAUGGAGGUGGACCAAAAAUAACCGCAACAACGCUAGAAAUGGUUCGGAAAGUGAAGGCUCGACUGGAACGAAAUCCACGUCGAAGUGGAAGAAAAAUGGCCAAAGAACUCAAAAUAUCGCAAGACAGCAUCUGACGCAUAUUGAAAAUUGAGCUCAAGGUCAAGGCUAACAAGUUCCAAAAAGCACCCGAUCUUUCACCCCAGCAAAGGAGUUGUCGCGCUUGCACGAACGUGGCGAAUUUCCUAACAUUGUGUUUUCUGAUGAAAAAAGCUAAUAUACGAGAAUCGGCCAAAAUACCUCAACAUCACAUUCGUGCAG
Anastrepha obliqua is the source of this 2206-nucleotide long non-coding RNA. RefSeq lists it as uncharacterized. NCBI's taxonomy places the organism in Eukaryota, Metazoa, Arthropoda, Insecta, Diptera, Tephritidae. The transcript has 3 exons. The record is from RefSeq and is a predicted model, not a curated record.